Molecule: ribosomal RNA, 497 nt
Filed under: uncultured bacterium
Lineage: Bacteria
Description: partial 16S ribosomal RNA
Rfam family: Bacterial small subunit ribosomal RNA
Source: RNAcentral
GAUGAACGCUGGCGGCGUGCCUAAUACAUGCAAGUCGAGCGAACAGACGAGGAGCUUGCUCCUCUGACGUUAGCGGCGGACGGGUGAGUAACACGUGGAUAACCUACCUAUAAGACUGGGAUAACUUCGGGAAACCGGAGCUAAUACCGGAUAAUAUAUUGAACCGCAUGGUUCAAUAGUGAAAGACGGUUUUGCUGUCACUUAUAGAUGGAUCCGCGCCGCAUUAGCUAGUUGGUAAGGUAACGGCUUACCAAGGCAACGAUGCGUAGCCGACCUGAGAGGGUGAUCGGCCACACUGGAACUGAGACACGGUCCAGACUCCUACGGGAGGCAGCAGUAGGGAAUCUUCCGCAAUGGGCGAAAGCCUGACGGAGCAACGCCGCGUGAGUGAUGAAGGGCUUCGGAUCGUAAAACUCUGUUAUUAGGGAAGAGCAAAUGUGUAAGUAACUAUGCACGUCUUGACGGUACCUAAUCAGAAAGCCACGGCUAACUACGUG